Molecule: ribosomal RNA, 410 nt
Filed under: uncultured bacterium
Lineage: Bacteria
Description: bacterial SSU rRNA
Rfam family: Bacterial small subunit ribosomal RNA
Source: RNAcentral
AUUUUGGACAAUGGGCGCAAGCCUGAUCCAGCCAUGCCGCGUGCAGGAUGAAGGCCUUCGGGUUGUAAACUGCUUUUGUACGGAACGAAAAGGUGCCUUCUAAUAAAGGGCGCUCAUGACGGUACCGUAAGAAUAAGCACCGGCUAACUACGUGCCAGCAGCCGCGGUAAUACGUAGGGUGCGAGCGUUAAUCGGAAUUACUGGGCGUAAAGCGUGCGCAGGCGGUUUUGUAAGACAGAGGUGAAAUCCCCGGGCUCAACCUGGGAACUGCCUUUGUGACUGCAAGGCUGGAGUGCGGCAGAGNGGGAUGGAAUUCCGCGUGUAGCAGUGAAAUGCGUAGAUAUGCGGAGGAACACCGAUUGCGAAGGCAAUCCCCUGGGCCUGCACUGACGCUCAUGCACGAAAGCGUG